AAAAAAUUGAUCUUGAGAGCUUUGAGGAUGAGAGGAAGACGAGGCUCGGGACUCUCAAGAAAAAGGCAAUCAAUGCCUCUACCAAGUUUAGGCAUUCUUUGACCAAAAGGGGCAGGAGAAACAGCAGAGUCAUGUCUGUGGUUGUUGUCGACGAGCACGAUGCUGAGGAAUUUCAAGCAGUGGAUGCAUUACGGCAAGCACUUAUACUGGAAGAGUUGCUCCCUUCAAAACACGAUGAUUAUCACAUGAUGCUAAGGUUCACUCCUUUCUUUGACCAUUGGCCUUAAUCCUAUUAAUUUUAUUAAUCAAUGGCACGACCAAUUCUUGGUUUAGUUAUGCCUUAAAUCAUAAGACUAAUAUUGGAAUCAGAAUGAGCUAAGCAUAAACCAUUUACCUUUACUCAAGAAAUUAUUUCAGGUGACAAGUAGUAUAAUGGUUUAGAUUUUUGAAGGCCAGGAAAUUUGACAUUGAGAAAACAAAGUAAAUGUGAGCUGAUAUUAUUCGUUGGAGAAAGGACUUUGGUGUAGACACUAUCAUGGAGGUGUUAGUUUACCGAAAAAUUGAUAACUAUUGAAUGUAUCUGGUACGCUGAGCUAGUAACCCUCAUUUUGAAUUUGAACGGACCAUUAAUGAUAAGUUCCCAGCCUGCUCUAUUGCAAUUGAUUGCAGGCUUUGAAAAGUUUCAGUAAAGCAGCCAGGGAUCUUCUCCGAUGCAUUCAAAGUAUUGAUGGUAAUAAUUACCCUGAGGUAAUAAUUUCUUUCUAGUGCCACGAACUUCCUGGUCUUCUCUUGUACCAUCAACUCGUAAGGUAUUUACUUCUGGGGCACAAUUGUUGUAUCAAACUGCAGUCUUUGGAAGUUUCAGUCUGAAAUAGAUUAAUGUUCUGUGCAGUACUGAAUUUUCACUAUCCCAAUGCAAGAUGGUGGACAAGGCUGUCGAUAAGACUUGGCCAAAAUCUGUGCAAGAUGAUAAACUUGCAGUCAACUGUGGUUUAAAUACACUCCCUGGAUCGGAGGCUAUACCUCUGAUCAAAAAGGAAAGUUGAAUAGCUUAUUGAUCCUUUGCUUGCCGUUGUGUACGAUGCAGAACAGAUGAAUCGCAUGCUUGCAGUUGCUUCUACGUAGGAACUUGACGUCUUCUCUUGGAGACCCUUGAUUAUAUUCAAGUAGUUUUUACACUCUCAAUUAUAGUAUUUUGAUUGUUGUUGAAUUGUCGAAUUGUUGUCGAUUAGAUGGAUGUGUAUUACUUGAUAUUUAGAUUAGAUGGAAGUGUAGUACUUGAUCGAUAUUGGAUUUGAUGGAUGUGUAGUAGGUUAGAUUGGAAUUUGAUGGAUGUAGAGAGUACAAUUUGUUUAUAUAUUCAUUAAUAAGAUUUAGUUGUUGAUUU
This is a long non-coding RNA of Daucus carota subsp. sativus, 1387 nucleotides long. RefSeq lists it as uncharacterized. The transcript has 2 exons. The record is from RefSeq and is a predicted model, not a curated record. NCBI's taxonomy places the organism in Eukaryota, Viridiplantae, Streptophyta, Magnoliopsida, Apiales, Apiaceae.